AGAUUGAACGCUAGCGGGAUGCUUUACACAUGCAAGUCGGACGGCAGCACGAAGAGCUUGCUCUUUGGUGGCGAGUGGCGAACGGGUGAGUAAUAUAUCGGAACGUGCCCAGUAGCGGGGGAUAACUACGCGAAAGCGUGGCUAAUACCGCAUACGCCCUACGGGGGAAAGGGGGGGAUCGCAAGACCUCUCACUAUUGGAGCGGCCGAUAUCAGAUUAGCUAGUUGGUGGGGUAAAGGCCUACCAAGGCAACGAUCUGUAGCUGGUUUGAGAGGACGACCAGCCACACUGGGACUGAGACACGGCCCAGACUCCUACGGGAGGCAGCAGUGGGGAAUUUUGGACAAUGGGGGCAACCCUGAUCCAGCCAUCCCGCGUGUGCGAUGAAGGCCUUCGGGUUGUAAAGCACUUUUGGCAGGGAAGAAACGGCGCUGGUUAAUACCUGGCGCAACUGACGGUACCUGCAGAAUAAGCACCGGCUAACUACGUGCCAGCAGCCGCGGUAAUACGUAGGGUGCAAGCGUUAAUCGGAAUUACUGGGCGUAAAGCGUGCGCAGGCGGUUCGGAAAGAAAGAUGUGAAAUCCCAGAGCUUAACUUUGGAACUGCAUUUUUAACUCCCGAACUAGAGUAUGUCAGAGGGGGGUAGAAUUCCACGUGUAGCAGUGAAAUGCGUAGAGAUGUGGAGGAAUACCGAUGGCGAAGGCAGCCCCCUGGGAUAAUA
This 722-nucleotide ribosomal RNA is filed under the name Pusillimonas sp. RNAcentral's name for it is "bacterial SSU rRNA". It matches the Rfam family "Bacterial small subunit ribosomal RNA", at positions 26 to 739 of the family's 1533-position model. Lineage: Bacteria; Pseudomonadati; Pseudomonadota; Betaproteobacteria; Burkholderiales; Alcaligenaceae. The record is from RNAcentral.